This 1441-nucleotide non-coding RNA is filed under the name Aspergillus carbonarius ITEM 5010. Its description in RNAcentral is "Eukaryotic large subunit ribosomal RNA". It matches the Rfam family "Eukaryotic large subunit ribosomal RNA", at positions 118 to 1573 of the family's 3401-position model. The record is from Rfam by way of RNAcentral. Lineage: Eukaryota; Fungi; Ascomycota; Eurotiomycetes; Eurotiales; Aspergillaceae.
AAAGCUGGCUCCUUCGGAGUCCGCAUUGUAAUUUGCAGAGGAUGCUUUGGGUGCGGCCCCCGUCUAAGUGCCCUGGAACGGGCCGUCAGAGAGGGUGAGAAUCCCGUCUUGGGCGGGGUGUCCGUGCCCGUGUAAAGCUCCUUCGACGAGUCGAGUUGUUUGGGAAUGCAGCUCUAAAUGGGUGGUAAAUUUCAUCUAAAGCUAAAUACUGGCCGGAGACCGAUAGCGCACAAGUAGAGUGAUCGAAAGAUGAAAAGCACUUUGAAAAGAGAGUUAAACAGCACGUGAAAUUGUUGAAAGGGAAGCGCUUGCAACCAGACUCGCCCGCGGGGUUCAGCCGGCAUUCGUGCCGGUGUACUUCCCCGUGGGCGGGCCAGCGUCGGUUUGGGCGGCCGGUCAAAGGCCCCUGGAAUGUAGUGCCCUCCGGGGCACCUUAUAGCCAGGGGUGCAAUGCGGCCAGCCUAGACCGAGGAACGCGCUUCGGCUCGGACGCUGGCAUAAUGGUUGUAAACGACCCGUCUUGAAACACGGACCAAGGAGUCUAACAUCUACGCGAGUGUUCGGGUGUCAAACCCGUGCGCGCAGUGAAAGCGAACGGAGGUGGGAGCCCCCUCGUGGGGCGCACCAUCGACCGAUCCUGAUGUCUUCGGAUGGAUUUGAGUAAGAGCGUAAAUGUGGGGACCCGAAAGAUGGUGAACUAUGCCUGAAUAGGGCGAAGCCAGAGGAAACUCUGGUGGAGGCUCGCAGCGGUUCUGACGUGCAAAUCGAUCGUCAAAUUUGGGUAUAGGGGCGAAAGACUAAUCGAACCAUCUAGUAGCUGGUUCCUGCCGAAGUUUCCCUCAGGAUAGCAGUAACGUAUAAUCAGUUUUAUGAGGUAAAGCGAAUGAUUAGAGGCAUUGGGGUUGAAACAACCUUAACCUAUUCUCAAACUUUAAAUAUGUAAGAAGCCCUUGUUUCUUAAUUGAACGUGGGCAUUAGAAUGAAACGUUACUAGUGGGCCAUUUUUGGUAAGCAGAACUGGCGAUGCGGGAUGAACCGAACGCGAGGUUAAGGUGCCGGAAUGCACGCUCAUCAGACACCACAAAAGGUGUUAGUUCAUCUAGACAGCCCGACGGUGGCCAUGGAAGUCGGAAUCCGCUAAGGAGUGUGUAACAACUCACGGGCCGAAUGAACUAGCCCUGAAAAUGGAUGGCGCUCAAGCGUGCUACCCAUACCUCGCCGUCGGGGUAGAAACGAUGCCCCGACGAGUAGGCAGGCGUGGAGGUCCGUGACGAAGCCUUGGGAGUGAUCCCGGGUCGAACGGCCUCUAGUGCAGAUCUUGGUGGUAGUAGCAAAUACUCAAAUGAGAACUUUGAGGACUGAAGUGGGGAAAGGUUCCAUGUGAACAGCAGUUGGACAUGGGUUAGUCGAUCCUAAGGUAUAGGGAAGUUCCGUUGAAAGG